This 94-nucleotide microRNA precursor is filed under the name Canis lupus familiaris (dog). RNAcentral's name for it is "mir-8799 microRNA precursor family". It matches the Rfam family "mir-8799 microRNA precursor family". RNAcentral also lists the same sequence under 1 other name. The record is from Rfam by way of RNAcentral. Lineage: Eukaryota; Metazoa; Chordata; Mammalia; Carnivora; Canidae.
AGGGGAGCAUGGGAUCCUGGGCUGUGUUCUCCGGCACCCUGGGCUCCGGGGCCUGUGCUGCUGGAAUUGUGCUCCUGGGGCCACGCAGACCCCU